Clupea harengus (Atlantic herring) is the source of this 328-nucleotide long non-coding RNA. RefSeq lists it as uncharacterized. Lineage: Eukaryota; Metazoa; Chordata; Actinopteri; Clupeiformes; Clupeidae. The transcript is spliced from 3 exons. The record is from RefSeq and is a predicted model, not a curated record.
UGUGUAUUGUGUAUUGUGUCCUAGCGCUGCUGACACUCUGUGUGUGUGUGUGUUUGUGUGUCCUGCAGAAAUUCUGGGAGCUGGCGAGGCAGGUGAGCGAGCUGAUGACCUGGAAGAAGGUGGAGUGUCCGUUUGAGAAGGACCGCAAGAUCCUACAGUACCUGCUCACCGCUCCCGUUUUCAGUGAGGAUGCUCUGUGUCUGGCAUCCUAUGAGAGCGAAGGACCAGAGAACAACAUGGAGAAGGACAGGUGGAAGUCUCUGAGGUCUUCCCUGCUGAAUCGGGUGUAGGCACCUCAGGGUGGCGGUGGCGGGGGGGGGGGGGGGGG